Molecule: ribosomal RNA, 376 nt
Filed under: uncultured bacterium
Lineage: Bacteria
Description: bacterial SSU rRNA
Rfam family: Bacterial small subunit ribosomal RNA
Source: RNAcentral
UACGUAGGUGGCAAGCGUUACUCGGAAUCACUAGGCGUAAAGCGCGGGUAGGCGGUUCGAUAAGUCUCUUGUGAAAGCUCCUGGCUUAACUGGGAGAGGCCAAGGGAAACUGUCGGGCUCGAGUGUGGCAGAGGAAGCUGGAAUUCCCGGUGUAGCGGUGAAAUGCGUAGAGAUCGGGAGGAAUACCUAUGGCGAAAGCAGGCUUCUGGGCCAUCACUGACGCUGAUCCGCGAAAGCUAGGGGAGCAAACAGGAUUAGAUACCCUGGUAGUCCUAGCCCUAAACGAUACUCAUUAGGUGUGGGAGGUAUCGACCCCUUCCGCGCCGAAGCUAACGCAUUAAAUGAGCCGCCUGGGGAGUACGGCCGCAAGGUUGAA